AGAGAAACAAAGUGUGUUAAACAAGGAAAGAUUCAGUAUCAACUUCACGACGCGAAACAGGUCGAUAUUCAUAUUACAAAAUAUCAAAAAGCUGUCA
Mycetomoellerius zeteki is the source of this 97-nucleotide long non-coding RNA. RefSeq lists it as uncharacterized. The transcript has 3 exons. Lineage: Eukaryota; Metazoa; Arthropoda; Insecta; Hymenoptera; Formicidae. The record is from RefSeq and is a predicted model, not a curated record.